GAUCCUGGCUCAGGAUGAACGCUGGCGGCGUGCUUAACACAUGCAAGUCGAACGAAGACAUCUGAGUGCUUGCACUUGGAUGGACUGAGUGGCGGACGGGUGAGUAACGCGUGGGUAACCUGCCUUAUACAGGGGGAUAACAGUUGGAAACGACUGCUAAUACCGCAUAAGCGCACGGUAUCGCAUGAUACAGUGUGAAAAACUCCGGUGGUAUAAGAUGGACCCGCGU
Molecule: ribosomal RNA, 229 nt
Filed under: uncultured bacterium
Lineage: Bacteria
Description: partial 16S ribosomal RNA
Rfam family: Bacterial small subunit ribosomal RNA
Source: RNAcentral